This 253-nucleotide ribosomal RNA is filed under the name uncultured bacterium. RNAcentral describes it as "partial 16S ribosomal RNA". It matches the Rfam family "Bacterial small subunit ribosomal RNA", at positions 524 to 776 of the family's 1533-position model. The record is from RNAcentral. RNAcentral also lists the same sequence under 1 other name.
UACGUAGGGCGCAAGCGUUAUCCGGAAUUAUUGGGCGUAAAGAGCUCGUAGGCGGUUUGUCGCGUCUGCCGUGAAAGUCCGGGGCUCAACCCCGGAUCUGCGGUGGGUACGGGCAGACUAGAGUGAUGUAGGGGAGACUGGAAUUCCUGGUGUAGCGGUGAAAUGCGCAGAUAUCAGGAGGAACACCGAUGGCGAAGGCAGGUCUCUGGGCAUUAACUGACGCUGAGGAGCGAAAGCAUGGGGAGCGAACAGG